CUCACAGAGUUAUUUUCAGAGGAUAUACUUGAUUUAUAUUUAAGAAGUGAAAAAUCGCAUAUUAAGCCUUUAAGGAAGAAGAGGGAUAAGUUGCAAUGGAUUGUGGGAUGUGUAGUUCCUUGACUCCGGGAGAAAAUGACAUACAGUACAGUCUUGUUCCUUCGCCUUUUUCUGUGUUCAACACCGUUUUUACGCCAAAUCAAAUGUAUUAUAAUCAUCAAUGUUUGGGGUAGCUGGUUGUCAUGUAUCACCACACUUCUCUUUGAAUAUUUAUCUUAAAGGAUAUUGGAUGAAACCUGACAACAAAUAUAAAUGUAUUCAUCGGAAGAGAGCCGUUAAAGAAGAGAUGAGAGAAGUGAGUCUGUUGAACGCUGAGUGUCGUUGUUUUGAAGGAUUUUCUCUCCGUGGAGAAGAGACUGAAACACGCUGGUAUCCAGCUUUAAUAAAUAAAUAAAAAGUCGAUGUU
Labrus mixtus (cuckoo wrasse) is the source of this 466-nucleotide long non-coding RNA. RefSeq lists it as uncharacterized. The record is from RefSeq and is a predicted model, not a curated record. The transcript is spliced from 3 exons. NCBI's taxonomy places the organism in Eukaryota, Metazoa, Chordata, Actinopteri, Labriformes, Labridae.